AUGUCCAUAUCAUGUUGAAACACCAGUUUUUGUAUGAUCACCAAAGUUAAGCAACGUUGAGCUUGGUCCGUACCUAGGUGGGUGACCACCUGGAAAUAUCAGGUGC
This is a non-coding RNA of Acanthosepion pharaonis, 106 nucleotides long. NCBI's taxonomy places the organism in Eukaryota, Metazoa, Mollusca, Cephalopoda, Sepiida, Sepiidae. The record is from the annotation of a GenBank genome assembly.